RNAcentral lists this ribosomal RNA (535 nucleotides) under Paecilomyces niveus. RNAcentral describes it as "partial large subunit ribosomal RNA". It matches the Rfam family "Eukaryotic large subunit ribosomal RNA", at positions 104 to 655 of the family's 3401-position model. Lineage: Eukaryota; Fungi; Ascomycota; Eurotiomycetes; Eurotiales; Thermoascaceae. The record is from RNAcentral.
GAGCUCAAAUUUGAAAUCUGGCCCCUCCGGGGUCCGAGUUGUAAUUUGCAGAGGAUGCUUCGGGUGCGGUCCCCAUCUAAGUGCCCUGGAACGGGCCGUCAUAGAGGGUGAGAAUCCCGUCUGGGAUGGGUGGCCGUGCCCGUGUGAAGCUCCUUCGACGAGUCGAGUUGUUUGGGAAUGCAGCUCUAAAUGGGUGGUAAAUUUCAUCUAAAGCUAAAUAUUGGCCGGAGACCGAUAGCGCACAAGUAGAGUGAUCGAAAGAUGAAAAGCACUUUGAAAAGAGAGUUAAACAGCACGUGAAAUUGUUGAAAGGGAAGCGCUUGCGACCAGACUCGCCCGCGGGGGUUCAGCCGGUACUCGUACCGGUGUAUUCCCCCGUGGGCGGGCCAGCGUCGGUUUGGGCGGCCGGUCAAAGGCCCCCGGAAUGUGUCGCCUCUCGGGGCGUCUUAUAGCCGGGGGUGCAAUGCGGCCAGCCUGGACCGAGGAACGCGCUUCGGCACGGACGCUGGCGUAAUGGUCGUAAGCGGCCCGUCUU